Molecule: ribosomal RNA, 398 nt
Filed under: uncultured bacterium
Lineage: Bacteria
Description: bacterial SSU rRNA
Rfam family: Bacterial small subunit ribosomal RNA
Source: RNAcentral
GGGGGAGUAACAUCCGGAAACGGGUGCUAAUACCGCAUAGUUUUUCUGAUCGCAUGAUCGGAAAGGAAAGACGGCCUUUGUGCUGUCGCUUAUGGAUGGACCCGCGGCGUAUUAGUUAGUUGGUGAGGUAAUGGCUCACCAAGACGAUGAUACGUAGCCGACCUGAGAGGGUGAUCGGCCACAUUGGGACUGAGACACGGCCCAAACUCCUACGGGAGGCAGCAGUAGGGAAUCUUCCGCAAUGGACGAAAGUCUGACGGAGCAACGCCGCGUGAGUGAAGAAAAGGUUUUCGGAUCGUAAAACUCUGUUGUCAGAGAAGAACAAGUCGGAGAGUAACUGCUCCGGCCUUGACGGUAUCUGACCAGAAAGCCACGGCUAACUACGUGCCAGCCGCUGC